CAUAUAAACAGUCACCUUCUCCCUAUUCCCACAGCCGAAACCCUAGAUCUCGCCGCCGCCCUCCUUGGCUCGCGCUGCUCUGCUGCUGCUCCUUGGCUCGCUCUGGGAGAAGACGAAGUGGAGAAAAGAGAGCCGAGCAUGAAUCCAGAUCCAAUGGAAGUGCAAGAACCACCACCCCAUAGGAACGAGAAAACCAUCUUUGAGAGAUGCAGAGAAGCCAGAAACUUUCGUACUAAUGCUAGGAGGUGUGGCACUCUUAUUCAGCCCUACGAAUUUAGCUGUCCACAAACUGCAGAACUUGGAUUUAAAGAUGGUUAUAUCUAUUAUUCAAGCAAGGCAAUAAAGUUUGCUGCGGAUAUAGAACAAGGAUUUGACUAAGAGGAACUGCAGAAACGAGCUGCCACCUUCUGGGUUCUGAAUGAAGUGCCUUUUGGUCAGCUAAACCCAUUGGGGCUAAAUCCAUCCAUUGAUGUAGGGAUUGUUAAGACCUACGGCGUGGCCUAUAAUACCCUAAUUGGAAAAACAAUCAUUGCCUUUGCUCGCUCUCAACAAAGUGUGCUCUCCUGGAUAGCAAAUCCAGAUAACAGUAUGUUCGUUCGUGAUCAGUUAAGAAAUAGUAUUAGCGGCCUCUUCUUGAUGAUGAUCUCAGGCAUUUUCUGCAAGGACUUCUUACUGGAGUAUAUGGUGCUAGGUUUAAUGAGGAAUUUAUUGCUUUGGGCCUGAAGCUUAAUGAGGAAUUUAUUGCUGAGGACCCGGCGCUUAAUGAUGAAUUUAUUGCAGAGGGCUAGGGCUAGGGCUAGUCAGACUUAUUGUCUCCGCUUCAUCCAACUAUAUAUUCGUAUGAGCUUUGUCAGCUUUGGUUUUGAUUACUUGCAAGUAGUCAGAUAUGCACCAUGUCCUAUGGUCAGUGUAUGAAUUGUAAACCUUAAUUAUCUCAACCUUAUCCAACUAUUCAUGUGAGCUUUUUCAGCUUUGUUUUGAUUACUUGCAAGUAGUCAGAUAUGCACCACGUCCUAUGGUCAGUGUGUGAAUUGUAAACCUUAAUUAUCUCAGCCUUAUCCAACUAUUCAUGUGUGC
Aegilops tauschii subsp. strangulata is the source of this 1077-nucleotide long non-coding RNA. RefSeq lists it as uncharacterized. The record is from RefSeq and is a predicted model, not a curated record. Lineage: Eukaryota; Viridiplantae; Streptophyta; Magnoliopsida; Poales; Poaceae.